CCCUGCAUUCGAAAGUGAUGCGGGCUGCUGUGCCUGGUCAUUGAUAGUGCAGGGAGAGGAAUUGCUGAAAGCGUUUCCCCGUGUGGAGGGUCCAUCCUGUCCCUUGAACUUGGAGCUUCAUUACA
RNAcentral lists this small nucleolar RNA (125 nucleotides) under Camelus dromedarius (Arabian camel). RNAcentral describes it as "Small nucleolar RNA SNORA71 (ENSCDRG00005007935.1)". It matches the Rfam family "Small nucleolar RNA SNORA71". Rfam says of the family: The members of this family belong to the H/ACA class of snoRNAs which bind a number of proteins (including dyskerin, Gar1p and Nop10p) to form snoRNP complexes. This class of snoRNAs are thought to guide the sites of modification of uridines to pseudouridines by forming direct base pairing interactions with substrate RNAs. Lineage: Eukaryota; Metazoa; Chordata; Mammalia; Artiodactyla; Camelidae. The record is from Rfam by way of RNAcentral.